CCUACGAGGGGCUGCAGUGAGGAAUAUUGGUCAAUGGCCGGAAGGCUGAACCAGCCAAGCCGCGUGAAGGACGAAGGUGCCAAGCAUUGUAAACUUCUUUUGUCAAGGGACAAAAUCAGGCUCGAGAGCCUGACCGAGGGUACUUGAAGAAAAAGCAUCGGCUAACUCCGUGCCAGCCGCCGCGGUAAUACGGAGGAUGCGAGCGUUGUCCGGAUUUAUUGGGGUUAAAGGGUUCGUAGGCGGUAGGUUACGUCAGCGGUAAAAGCCCGGGGCUCCACCCCGUCGAGCCGUGGAAACUAGCUGUCUUGAAAUGGCGAGAGGGAUAGGGAAUGCGCGGUGUAGCGGUGAAAUGCGUAGAUAUUGCGAAGAACACCGAUGGCGAAGGCGGCAUACCGGC
RNAcentral lists this ribosomal RNA (397 nucleotides) under uncultured bacterium. RNAcentral's name for it is "partial 16S ribosomal RNA". It matches the Rfam family "Bacterial small subunit ribosomal RNA", at positions 338 to 733 of the family's 1533-position model. The record is from RNAcentral.